CGGGGGGCAGCAGUGGGGAAUAUUGGGCAAUGGAGGAAACUCUGACCCAGCGACGCCGCGUGCGGGAUGAAGGCCUUCGGGUUGUAAACCGCUUUCAGCAGGGAAGAAGCGAAAGUGACGGUACCUACAGAAGAAGCACCGGCUAACUACGUGCCAGCAGCCGCGGUAAUACGUAGGGUGCAAGCGUUGUCCGGAAUUAUUGGGCGUAAAGAGCUCGUAGGUGGUUUGCCACGUCGGAUGUGAAAACCUGAGGCUUAACCUCAGGCCUGCAUUCGAUACGGGCAGACUAGAGUGUGGUAGGGGAGACUGGAAUUCCUGGUGUAGCGGUGAAAUGCGCAGAUAUCAGGAGGAACACCGAUGGCGAAGGCAGGUCUCUGGGCCAUAACUGACACUGAGGAGCGAAAGCGUGGGGAGCAAACAGGAUUAGAUACCCCCGU
RNAcentral lists this ribosomal RNA (437 nucleotides) under uncultured Actinomycetales bacterium. Its description in RNAcentral is "bacterial SSU rRNA". It matches the Rfam family "Bacterial small subunit ribosomal RNA", at positions 342 to 791 of the family's 1533-position model. Lineage: Bacteria; Bacillati; Actinomycetota; Actinomycetes; Actinomycetales. The record is from RNAcentral.